UCAAUAAAAAGUGAGCAGCGCCUGCAGG
Molecule: non-coding RNA, 28 nt
Filed under: Mus musculus (house mouse)
Lineage: Eukaryota; Metazoa; Chordata; Mammalia; Rodentia; Muridae
Source: RNAcentral